AGUGAACGCUGGCGGCAGGCCUAACACAUGCAAGUCGAACGAACACACAGGGAGCUUUCGCCUCUGCGGGUGGCGGCUGACGGACGGGUAACGCAUGGAUAGCCUACCUCUAUGACUGGGGUGAUAACGUGAAAACAGAGCUACUACCGCAGAAUAUAUCGAACCGCGUGAUGCAAGAGCUCAAGACGCUUUUUCUGUCACUUAUAGCUGGAUCCGGGCCGGAUUAUCUAGUUGGUAAGGGAACGGCAUACCAAGGCUACGAUGCGUAGCCGACCUGAGAGGGUGAUCGGCCACACUGGAACUGAGACACGGUCCAGACUCCUACGGGAGGCAGCAGUAGGGAAUCUUACGCAAUGGGCGAAAGCCUGAUGCAGCAAUGCCGCGUGAGUGAUGAAGGUCUUCGGAUUGUAAAACUCUGUUGUUAGGGAAGAAAAAAAGUGUAUGUAACUAUGGCCGUAUUGACGGUACCUAAAGAAAAAGCCCCGGCUAACUACGUG
This 497-nucleotide ribosomal RNA is filed under the name uncultured bacterium. RNAcentral describes it as "partial 16S ribosomal RNA". It matches the Rfam family "Bacterial small subunit ribosomal RNA", at positions 29 to 507 of the family's 1533-position model. The record is from RNAcentral.